Molecule: ribosomal RNA, 442 nt
Filed under: uncultured bacterium
Lineage: Bacteria
Description: partial 16S ribosomal RNA
Rfam family: Bacterial small subunit ribosomal RNA
Source: RNAcentral
CCUACGGGAGGCAGCAGUAGGGAAUCUUUCACAAUGGGCGAAAGCCUGAUGGAGCAACGCCGCGUGCAGGAUGCAGGCCUUCGGGUUGUAAACUGCUUUUAUAAGCGAGAAAUAUGAUGGUAACUUAUGAAUAAGGAUCGGCUAACUACGUGCCAGCAGCCGCGGUCAUACGUAGGAUCCGAGCAUUAUCCGGAGUGACUGGGUGUAAAGAGUUGCGUAGGUGGCAUAAUAAGUAGCUAGUGAAAUCUGGUGGCUCAACCAUUCAGACUAUUAGCUAAACUGUUAAGCUCGAGACCGUUAGGGGUAACUGGAAUUUCUAGUGUAGGAGUGAAAUCCGUAGAUAUUAGAAGGAACACCAAUAGCGUAGGCAGGUUGCUGGGACGGUUCUGACACUAAGGCACGAAAGCGUAGGGAGCAAACGGGAUUAGAUACCCGUGUAGUC